RNAcentral lists this ribosomal RNA (532 nucleotides) under uncultured delta proteobacterium. RNAcentral's name for it is "bacterial SSU rRNA". It matches the Rfam family "Bacterial small subunit ribosomal RNA", at positions 9 to 523 of the family's 1533-position model. Lineage: Bacteria; Deltaproteobacteria. The record is from RNAcentral.
GAGUUUGAUCAUGGCUCAGGAUGAACGCUGGCGGCGUGCCUAACACAUGCAAGUCGUACGAGAAAGGGGCUUCGGCCCUGAGUAGAGUGGCGCACGGGUGAGUAACGCGUGGGUAAUCUCCCCUUGGAUUUGGGAUAACUCUGCGAAAGUGGAGCUAAUACCGGAUGGUCUGGCUUUAAAUGAUAAGUCGGUAAAGGAUGCCUCUGCAUAUGCAUUCGUCUAAGGAUGAGCCCGCGUCUCAUUAGCUAGUUGGUAGGGUAAUGGCCUACCAAGGCAACGAUGAGUAGCUGGUCUGAGAGGAUGAUCAGCCACACUGGAACUGAAACACGGUCCAGACUCCUACGGGAGGCAGCAGUGGGGAAUAUUGCGCAAUGGGCGAAAGCCUGACGCAGCAACGCCGUGUGAGGGAUGAAGGCUUUCGGGUCGUAAACCUCUGUCAGAAGGGAAGAACGGGCAUUGGUCUAAUAGGCCUUUGUUUUGACGGUACCUUCAGAGGAAGCACCGGCUAACUCCGUGCCAGCAUCCGCGGUAC